GGCGGAUGUGGCCAAGUGGAUCAAGGCAGUGGAUUGUGAAUCCACCAUGCGCGAAGGGCGAAUUCGUUUAAACCUGCAGGACUAG
Molecule: transfer RNA, 85 nt
Filed under: Pimpinella anisum
Lineage: Eukaryota; Viridiplantae; Streptophyta; Magnoliopsida; Apiales; Apiaceae
Description: partial tRNA-His
Rfam family: tRNA (bases 2-53)
About the family: Transfer RNA (tRNA) molecules are approximately 80 nucleotides in length. Their secondary structure includes four short double-helical elements and three loops (D, anti-codon, and T loops).
Source: RNAcentral